RNAcentral lists this ribosomal RNA (508 nucleotides) under uncultured bacterium. RNAcentral describes it as "bacterial SSU rRNA". It matches the Rfam family "Bacterial small subunit ribosomal RNA", at positions 19 to 518 of the family's 1533-position model. The record is from RNAcentral.
CUGGCUCAGAUGAACGCUGGCGGCAGGCCUAACACAUGCAAGUCGAACGGUAACAGGAAGCAGCUGCUGCUUGCUGACGAGUGGCGGACGGGUGAGUAAUGUCUGGGAAACUGCCCGAUGGAGGGGGAUAACUACUGGAAACGGUAGCUAAUACCGCGUAAUGUCGCAAGACCAAAGAGGGGGACCUUCGGGCCUCUUGCCAUCGGAUGUGCCCAGAUGGGAUUAGCUAGUUGGUGAGGUAACGGCUCACCAAGGCGACGAUCCCUAGCUGGUCUGAGAGGAUGACCAGCCACACUGGAACUGAGACACGGUCCAGACUCCUACGGGAGGCAGCAGUGGGGAAUAUUGCACAAUGGGCGCAAGCCUGAUGCAGCCAAUGCCGCGUGUAUGGAGAAGGCCUUCGGGUUGUAAAGUACUUUCAGCGGGGAGGAAGGGGUUAAGGUUAAUAACCUUAGCCAUUGACGUUACCCGCAGAAGAAGCACCGGCUAACUCCGUGCCAGCCGCCGC